GAUCUGGCUCAGAUUGAACGCUGGCGGCAUGCCUUACACAUGCAAGUCGAACGGCAGCAUGGAGAGCUUGCUCUCUGAUGGCGAGUGGCGAACGGGUGAGUAAUACAUCGGAACGUGUCCGUUUGUGGGGACAACCGUCGAAAGGAUGGCUAAUACCGCAUAAGACCUGAGGGUGAAAGCCGGGGACCGCAAAGGGCCCCGGCGCAGACGGAGCGGCCGAUGAUUGAUUAG
Molecule: ribosomal RNA, 231 nt
Filed under: uncultured bacterium
Lineage: Bacteria
Description: partial 16S ribosomal RNA
Rfam family: Bacterial small subunit ribosomal RNA
Source: RNAcentral